Long non-coding RNA from Mastomys coucha (southern multimammate mouse), 890 nucleotides. RefSeq lists it as uncharacterized. The transcript is spliced from 2 exons. The record is from RefSeq and is a predicted model, not a curated record. Lineage: Eukaryota; Metazoa; Chordata; Mammalia; Rodentia; Muridae.
UCUCUCCGCCCCCUCCUCUGCCAUCUCCUAGCCACUGGGAGGGCGCCCAGGGGCGGAGGAGGUGCUGCGAACCCGUUUGGGGGCUUCUUUGUUUCUCUUCGGGGCCCUUGGGAGGGCCGAUCAGCCUGCUGUACCCAAGCUUUGGGAUGCUAGCCCGGCUUGGGCGGCGACCCGACCCAAGCCAACAAUUGAACCUCGCGGGAGAAGAGAGGCAGAACUUUACAGAAGAGGAAACCGAAUGAAACCAAGUGAAGCCUCAAUUCCCAUCCUCCUCCUUCCCCUGCGAGCACCUCCCUUCCAACCUGGCUCAUCACUCCAGAUGCCCAGUGAUUUCUCAAUAGACCCUUCCCUUUGUCUGCCAGGAAUCUGAUCUUUCCACCAGAUGAGUUCAAGACUGACUGUUUUUCAAACCAUAUCUAAAAAGCCACACAGAACCCUAAACACGUAUUUCACCAGAUUUGACAUAUGAGCUUUGGUAUGAAGAAAACCUCCAAGAAUGGACUUGGCUGAGGUGCAACAAUAAACACCAGAAUCAACCAAAUGGUAAUACCAACCAGAAAUUUGUAAGAAAAAAAAAAGUAAAUCAACAAAAGUCUCUUGUAUAAAGUAAUAUUAAAGGUUUCUGAAUACACACAAUUCCAACAAACUGCUACAAAGAAUGCUUAUUCACCUCAGUUAAUUGCUAAGUUGUUCAGUCUGGUUUCCAGGGCUGCUGUGUCUAUUUGGCUGAAAGAGAUUUUCUUCCUGUUGUGUCAUGAAGAUCGCUUGGUAAGUCAGCAUCUCUCAGGGUGUUGGUGCAGCGAUCCUGAGGAAGGCUUUCUUUUCCUCUAGGCACUUUCUCCCUUUCUAUUUCUCUUUCUACCAAAGGCAAAGGGUACCAAAGUUUCACA